UCCGAAGGGGGCUAGCGUUGUUCGGAAUUACUGGGCGUAAAGCGCACGUAGGCGGAUUUGUAAGUCAGGGGUGAAAUCCCGGGGCUCAACCUCGGAACUGACUUUGAUACUGCAAGUCUCGAGUCCGGAAGAGGUGGGUGGAAUUCCUAGUGUAGAGGUGAAAUUCGUAGAUAUUAGGAAGAACACCGGUGGCGAAGGCGGCCCACUGGUCCGGUACUGACGCUGAGGUGCGAAAGCGUGGGGAGAAAACAGG
Molecule: ribosomal RNA, 253 nt
Filed under: uncultured bacterium
Lineage: Bacteria
Description: partial 16S ribosomal RNA
Rfam family: Bacterial small subunit ribosomal RNA
Source: RNAcentral